AAGCCUAGAGAGAGAAAGAAGUUCCCGCGCACUAUUCACGGCGGCGCUACUGUUCACGCCGCCACUGUUCACGGCCAGCCCAUUUUUGCCCCCUUCUACACAAUUAAUUGGAGAGAUUUGAAGAUUAAGAGGAGGAAAAAGAUGGAGCUCAUGGUAGCCAUGGCUUUCUUGAAGACAUUUCAUGGUGAAAAAUUAGAGCUUGUCUCUAAGGCCUUGGGGAGCCCGAGGCGUAGGUUGGGAUUAACUUUAGUUGGGCAAACUUGGAGCGCGUACGAGGUACAGACGCACAGUUUGGUGAUCUACCCAUUUAGGACACCCUCUUCUGCUGUUUGGAGUGCUCUUCUCAUUUCAGAGCACACAUUUUGGUAUAUAUUCGUUCGCUAUGUAUAUAUGUAUUUGUUCAGGGGCACGGCGGGGCCCUGUCCCGCCAUAUGAUUCGGUUUGUCUGUUUAGAGGUCUGUAGACGUAUUUGUGGGUGUGUGUGCCUACUUCUGUACGGAUGUGUUUGCAUGACUCUAUUCGUUAUGGCAGCCUCGUCGGCGUGCAUUUUGUAUAUGUUGUGGCAGCCUUGUCGGCGUGCAUUUGUAUAUGCGUUUUGGGCCGUUGUGCCAUUUGACAGCCUUGUCGGCUUUUGACAUAUUUGAUAGCCUUGCCGGCUUUUUGACA
Long non-coding RNA from Lycium barbarum (goji berry), 666 nucleotides. RefSeq lists it as uncharacterized. The transcript has 3 exons. Lineage: Eukaryota; Viridiplantae; Streptophyta; Magnoliopsida; Solanales; Solanaceae. The record is from RefSeq and is a predicted model, not a curated record.